Dermatophagoides farinae (American house dust mite) is the source of this 204-nucleotide non-coding RNA. The record is from RefSeq and is a predicted model, not a curated record. Lineage: Eukaryota; Metazoa; Arthropoda; Arachnida; Sarcoptiformes; Pyroglyphidae.
GAAAAAAAAACGAAGAAAAAGAUUCGUUUUUCGUUAUAAUGAUGAUAAACGAUAUAUACACACAGACAUCAUCCAGGAUUUUCAACAUUGGCAAAUUCAUUUAUUACAGUGACGAAUUACGAGGAUUAAAAGCAGUUGUGUUGUGUUCAAUAUGGACAAAAUGAUGAUGUGAGACAAUUUCCCAGUAACGAAAAAAAAACGAAA